AUUGAACGCUGGCGGCAUGCCUUACACAUGCAAGUCGAACGUGAAAGGGGGGCAACCCCCGAGUAGAGUGGCGGACGGGUGAGCAACACAUCGGAACGUACCCAGUAGUGGGGACAACCUCGAGAAAUCGAGGCUAAUACCGCAUACGACCCACGGGUGAAAGCGGGGACCGCAAGGCCUCGCGCUAUUGGAGCGGCCGAUGUCCGAUUAGCUUGUUGGUGGGGUAACGCCCACCAAGGCGACGAUCGGUAGCUGGUCUGAGAGGAUGAUCAGCCACACUGGGACUGAGACACGGCCCAGACUCCUACGGGAGGCAGCAGUGGGGAAUUUUGGACAAUGGGGGCAACCCUGAUCCAGCCAUGCCGCGUGCGGGAAGAAGGCC
Molecule: ribosomal RNA, 382 nt
Filed under: uncultured bacterium
Lineage: Bacteria
Description: bacterial SSU rRNA
Rfam family: Bacterial small subunit ribosomal RNA
Source: RNAcentral